This 550-nucleotide ribosomal RNA is filed under the name uncultured bacterium. Its description in RNAcentral is "bacterial SSU rRNA". It matches the Rfam family "Bacterial small subunit ribosomal RNA", at positions 355 to 896 of the family's 1533-position model. The record is from RNAcentral.
UAGGGAAUAUUGCGCAAUGGGCGAAAGCCUGACGCAGCGACGCCGCGUGGAUGAUGAAGCAUCUUGGUGUGUAAAAUCCUUUCAGCGGGGACGAAACGUCGGAUGAGGAAAUGCUUCCGGCCUGACGGUACCCGCAGAAGAAGUUCCGGCUAACUCCGUGCCAGCAGCCGCGGUAAUACGGGGGGAACGAGCGUUGUUCGGAUUUACUGGGUGUAAAGGGCACGCAGGCGGGAAGACAAGUCCGAUGUGCAAACCCGGGGCUUAACCGCGGGCCUGCAUUGGAAACUGUUUUUCUUGAGUACGAGAGAGGAUGGCGGAAUUCCUGGUGUAGCGGUGAAAUGCGUAGAUAUCAGGAAGAACACCGGUGGCGAAGGCGGCCAUCUGGCUCGAUACUGACGCUCAGGUGCGAAGGCUAGGGGAGCAAACAGGAUUAGAUACCCUGGUAGUCCUAGCGGUAAACCAUGGAUACUAGGUGUUGGAGGUAUCGACCCCUCCAGUGCUGCAGUUAACACAUUAAGUAUCCCACCUGGGGAGUACGGCCGCAAGGUUG